This 68-nucleotide transfer RNA is filed under the name Pherusa bengalensis. RNAcentral describes it as "tRNA-Asn". The record is from RNAcentral. Lineage: Eukaryota; Metazoa; Annelida; Polychaeta; Terebellida; Flabelligeridae.
UAAGUGAAAGCCAAAAAGAGGCAUUUAACUGUUAAUUAAAUCAUUACUAUAUAUAAUAGUUCACUUAA